AUGGUCUCCGCAAUCUUCGGCCCCAGAAGCUCCAAUCUCAAUCAGAACAUGCUGACCAAGCUGAAGGCUGUUUACACCUUGGUGGAGCAACUCUACACCGGGCCACAGCGUGCUUUAGCCGUUGUGGCUCUGUCCAAUGAGGUACCCACUCACCUGGCAGACGUACUCAGGCGGCCUGCCGUACUUCCUCAACGCUUCCAAGAGCUGAGACGGGCUUCUGCAAGAGCUGGAGCUAUAGCUGCUCUGAGCCGGGCCAAGGCGUUUCUACCGGAGCUAGACCCGGCCGACAUCGCUCUUGGAUACACCAGCCUGAAGGAAGACGGUACCCCCUUUGACCAGAAAGACUUCGCCGCCUGUGUGAAGAGCGUGCGCCCGGUGGCCACCUUGAUUGGGAAUGACACAUAUCUUACCAAGUAUCAGUCGGGCUAUGACGCGGAGAAUCAGAGGAUCCCAACUCCACGCUAUGAAGCAGUCAGCCUGAUCCCUCCGACUCGUAAGCAUACCUUCGCCCCAGAAGUUGACCCGGCCGGGUUAAUUGAUGAUGAGGCUCAAUUCGAAGCUUUGAGUGGCAUUGACUGGAAAUCAACAACCUUCCAGGUCAUGGAAACAGCCAGAGGAGCGGAGAGGGAUGAGCCGGGAGCUUCAACCCAACAAGCACCUUGA
This 663-nucleotide ribosomal RNA is filed under the name Triticum aestivum (bread wheat). RNAcentral describes it as "partial small subunit ribosomal RNA". Lineage: Eukaryota; Viridiplantae; Streptophyta; Magnoliopsida; Poales; Poaceae. The record is from RNAcentral.